CAUAUCUGCCUUAGAUCCUUUGUCAGGGCUUUCAUUUAUUGGAAGUUCAAAAAGCUUUUACUGGCUUUCCGUUGACAAAGCUUGAGUCAUACAGAUAUAAGAUUGCUUAUACCUCCACUCUUGAUCCCAAUGAAGGUAUCCAGCUCUUUCCCUCCACUUUCGAAAGAAAGGAAAGGGAAGUCGAAAAGUUGAUACCGUGGAUUCGUUUGGGGACAUU
RNAcentral lists this small nucleolar RNA (217 nucleotides) under Rhizopus microsporus. RNAcentral's name for it is "Small nucleolar RNA SNORA53". Lineage: Eukaryota; Fungi; Mucoromycota; Mucoromycetes; Mucorales; Rhizopodaceae. The record is from Rfam by way of RNAcentral.